GUUUGACCUCGGAUCAGGUAGGAAUACCCGCUGAACUUAAGCAUAUCAAUAAGCGGAGGA
Molecule: ribosomal RNA, 60 nt
Filed under: Paraeutypella vitis
Lineage: Eukaryota; Fungi; Ascomycota; Sordariomycetes; Xylariales; Diatrypaceae
Also listed under: 3 other names
Description: Eutypella vitis partial 28S ribosomal RNA
Rfam family: Eukaryotic large subunit ribosomal RNA
Source: RNAcentral